RNAcentral lists this ribosomal RNA (439 nucleotides) under uncultured bacterium. RNAcentral describes it as "bacterial SSU rRNA". It matches the Rfam family "Bacterial small subunit ribosomal RNA", at positions 958 to 1398 of the family's 1533-position model. The record is from RNAcentral.
AACGCGAAGAACCUUACCCAGGUUUGACAUACAGGAGAAGAUAACAGAGAUGUUAUUGCCCGCAAGGGCUGCUGUACAGGUGCUGCAUGGCUGUCGUCAGCUCGUGCCGUGAGGUGUUGGGUUAAGUCCCGCAACGAGCGCAACCCUUAUCAUUAGUUGCCAACACGCGAGGUGGGGACUCUAGUGAGACUGCCUAGGUUAACUAGGAGGAAGGUGAGGAUGACGUCAAGUCCGCAUGGCCUUUAUAUCUGGGGCUACACACGUGCUACAAUGGACGGUACAGAAGGCAGCGAAGUCGUAAGAUGGAGCAAAUCCCGAAAGCCGUUCUCAGUUCGGAUUGUGGUCUGCAACUCGACCACAUGAAGUUGGAAUUGCUAGUAAUGACGUGUCAGCAACAACGUCGUGAAUACGUUCCCGGGCCUUGUACACACCGGUACUA